UGUUUCCCAGCUCUGGUGUUGCUCCAGGUCGGACAUUUCCCAGCUCCGGUGUCACCAACGUCAGACGAUUCCCAGCUCCAAUGUUAUCUGAGAUCGGAUGAUUCCCAGCUCCGAUGUCCCCAAAGUAGGACAAUUCCCAGCUCUGAUGUUAUCUGAGGUCAGAUGAUUCUUGGCUCCGACGUCCCCAACGUUGGAUGUUUCCCGGCUCCGGUGUUGCUCCAGGUUGGACGUUUCCCAGCUCCGGUGUUGCUCCAGGUUGGACGUUUCCCAGCUCCGGUGCCGCCAACGUCAGACGAUUCCCAGCUCCAAUGUUAGCUGAGAUCAGAUGAUUCCCAGCUCCGACGUCCCCAACGUUGGACGUUUCCCAGCUCCGGUGUUGCUCCAGGUUGGAUGUUUCCCAGCUCCGGUGUCGCCAACGUCAGACGAUUCCCAGCUCCAAUGUUAUCUGAGGUCAGAUGAUUCCCAGCUCCGAUGUCCCCAAAGUUGGACGAUUCCCGGCUCUUGGUGUCCCCCCAGGUUGGAUGUUUCCCAGCUCCGAUGUCCCCAACAUCGGAGGUUUCCCAGCUCCAAUGUCACCCCAGGUCCGAUGUCUGCUGGCUCCAGUGUCCCCAACAUCAGACGCUUCCCGGCUCCGAUGUCCCCAACAUCAGACGUUUCCCGGCUCCGGGGGACCCUCAAGGUCAGACGUUCCCCGAUUUCAGCGUCCCCCCAGGUCGGACGUUGCCCAGCUCCGAUGUUCCUCGUGUCGGAUGUUUCCUGACUCCAAUGGCCCCAACGUCGGACACUUCCCAUCUCCGAUGUCCCCAACGUUGGGCUUUUCCUGGCUCCGACGUCCCUCCGGGUCAAGCCGUUGGCUGGCGCUGCCGGUUUCGGUGUUCGUUGACUCUGGUGGACCUCCAGGUCGGACAUCCGUUGGCUCCGGCAUCCGCUUGGGUGUCGGCCGGCUCCGGCGUCCCCCAACUCGGACAUUUCCCGGCUCCGACGUCUCCCACGUUGGACGCUCGCCGGCGCCGCCGGUUUUGGUGUCGGCCGGAUUCAAUAUCGGCCGGUUUUGGUGUCCACCAGCUCCGACACCUGCGGGUCGGACACUGCCUGUCCCCGUCACCCCGUUUUCCGUCCCCGUCGCCCCGUUUUCCGUCUCCGCCGCCCGCCGGCUUCAACGUCCCCCCAGGUGAGACGUUUCCCAGUGCCAAAACCCGCCGGUUUUGGUGUUUGCCAGCUCCAACAUCUGCCGGUUUUGGUGUCCACCAGCUCCGGCACCCGCAGGUGGGACAUUUCCCGGCUCCGUCACCCGUUGGCUUCAACGUCCUCCAGCUCGGAUGUUUUCCAGUGCCAAAAAACACUGGUUUUGGUGUCCACCAGCUCCAACAUCUCCUGAUUUUGGUGUCUGCCACCUCCAACAUCUGCCAGUUUUGGUGUCCGCCAGCUCCAACAUCUGUUUUUGGUGUCCGCCAGCUCCAACAUCUGCCAGUUUUGGUGUCCACCAGCUCCAACAUCUCCUGGUUUUGGUGUCCACCAGCUCCAACAUCUGGUUUUGGUGUCCGCCAGCUCCAACAUCUCCUGAUUUUGGUGUCCGCCAGCUCCAACAUCUGCUGGUUUUGGUGUCUGCUGGCUCCAACACCUGCCGGUUUUG
Molecule: long non-coding RNA, 1633 nt
Filed under: Apteryx owenii (little spotted kiwi)
Lineage: Eukaryota; Metazoa; Chordata; Aves; Apterygiformes; Apterygidae
Description: lncRNA (ENSAOWG00000004545.1)
Source: RNAcentral